RNAcentral lists this ribosomal RNA (499 nucleotides) under uncultured bacterium. RNAcentral describes it as "partial 16S ribosomal RNA". It matches the Rfam family "Bacterial small subunit ribosomal RNA", at positions 28 to 507 of the family's 1533-position model. The record is from RNAcentral.
GAUGAACGCUGGCGGCGUGCCUAAUACAUGCAAGUCGAGCGAACAGACGAGAGUGCUUGCACUCUCUGACGUUAGCGGCGGACGGGUGAGUAACACGUGGGUAACCUACCUAUAAGACUGGGAUAACUUCGGGAAACCGGAGCUAAUACCGGAUAAUAUUUAGCUUCGCAUGAAGCAAUAGUGAAAGACGGUUCUGCUGUCACUUAUAGAUGGACCCGCGGUGUAUUAGCUAGUUGGUGAGGUAACGGCUCACCAAGGCAACGAUACAUAGCCGUCCUGAGAGGGUGAUCGGCCACACUGGGACUGAGACACGGCCCAGACUCCUACGGGAGGCAGCAGUAGGGAAUCUUCCGCAAUGGACGAAAGUCUGACGGAGCAAUGCCGCGUGAGUGAAGAAGGUUUUCGGAUCGUAAAACUCUGUUGUAAGGGAAGAACAAGUACGUUAGUAACUGAACGUACCUUGACGGUACCUUACCAGAAAGCCACGGCUAACUACGUG